Molecule: long non-coding RNA, 512 nt
Filed under: Vitis vinifera (wine grape)
Lineage: Eukaryota; Viridiplantae; Streptophyta; Magnoliopsida; Vitales; Vitaceae
Description: long non-coding RNA (VVIN_LNC002066)
Source: RNAcentral
UAACUCAGACCGUGCCCGAACCGGUACACCACCGGGCCCUUGUAGAAUCGGUAGGUCCUUCCAGGGUAGGCCUUUGAUGGGAUUGCGCGCAUGGCCAUGGUUGUCAUGGGCACUUUGGAAAGGUAUUCCUGGGGAUACCAUGUCAUAGGUAGCUUCCCUCCUGAGCCACACGUGACAUGAUCAUUCACGUCAUUCUAUCUAAUUUUUUUUCAUGCAAUUAAGAGUAUUAAUUUAUAUGCUUACCUGGAUUGGCGACUCCAAAAAGGAUAUCGGCUAUGGCAGCUCCUCCAGCUUGGCCCGGGUAUCCGGCCCAUACAAUGGCAGCAAUUCGCGGGUCUUUCUUGGCGAAAGACACAUCCACAGGCCCACCACUCAUCAAGACCAACACAGUUGGGCCCCUGGAGGCCAUGGCAACCUUAGAUACAAGUUCCUGUUGGCGCCCAGGCAAAAGUAGGUCGGCACGGUCUUUAGCUUCUGCCUCAAUGGACUGGUCCAGGCCCAUCACCAACACC